UCACUUUGGCAGUAUAUAUACUAAAAUUAGGAUAAUACAGAAGAUUAACCUGGUCCUUGUACAAGGGUGACAUGCAUAUUUAUGAAAUAGUCCCUAUUUUU
This is a small nuclear RNA of Callithrix jacchus (white-tufted-ear marmoset), 101 nucleotides long. Lineage: Eukaryota; Metazoa; Chordata; Mammalia; Primates; Cebidae. The record is from Ensembl.